CCUACGGGAGGCAGCAGUGAGGAAUAUUGGUCAAUGGACGCAAGUCUGAACCAGCCAUGCCGCGUGCAGGAAGACGGCUCUAUGAGUUGUAAACUGCUUUUGUACGAGGGUAAACGCAGAUACGCGUAUCUGUCUGACAGUAUCGUACGAAUAAGGAUCGGCUAACUCCGUGCCAGCAGCCGCGGUAAUACGGAGGAUUCAAGCGUUAACCGGAUUUAUUGGGUGUAAAGGGUGCGUAGGCGGUCGGAUAAGUUAGAGGUGAAAUCCCGAGGCUCAACUGCGGAAGUGCCUCUGAUACUGUUCGUCUAGAGAGUAGGUGCGGUAGGCGGAAUGUAUGGUGUAGCGGUGAAAUGCUUAGAGA
RNAcentral lists this ribosomal RNA (361 nucleotides) under uncultured bacterium. RNAcentral describes it as "partial 16S ribosomal RNA". It matches the Rfam family "Bacterial small subunit ribosomal RNA", at positions 338 to 696 of the family's 1533-position model. The record is from RNAcentral.